CCAAGGACAUCAAAGAAUCCUGCAACCAGACGCCCUCAUAGGUGAAGCCUCUCCCCGCCAGCUUUUGAUUUACACGCCAAAAUGACACAAGCGUCUGGUUUGGACCGCUGACAAACUCCCUUCAGUGUGUUCAUUAUGGAUGUUAAAAAGGCGGUGGAUUGGUGCAUUCGUCCUAGCCCACACUCAGAUUGUAUUCAGUGCUGCUAAAUCCGUGAGAGGUGGCGAACAAAUGUACGUGUCAGGAGAGAAUGGACGCUGGUUUGAUAGUCUGCCAACCUACAGGGUCCUACGCUCCACUCGUCAUGUUUGUCAGUGACUAAAAGGCAACGACUUUAUCCCUUUAGCAAACAGCUCUCAUGCCAGUAUGUCUGUAAUGCCAUCUCCUUUUAGCUGCAGACAUGGAGCAGUAUAGCUGCCUGACUUUAAUCCUUUUUUUGGCCCCAUUCUGUUCUGAACCUUCACAGAGCAGGAUGUACUCAGGCUAAAACAGUAUUGUCUGUGUUUCUCUUUUCAAGUUGGAGACAGGGAUUUCAGCAGAAGCCAGACAGAGAUGCUGGCUGUAGCCCAUAUAAACAGGAUUUGUUCAUUGGGUGGGCAAAUGUGUAACUUCUUUCACUGAGUCCACACUAUACAUAGAUUACUAUUUACAAGAAGGUUAAUGUUUCUGAAAGUUUUAUUCAAGUUUUUGUUCAUAUUGAGCUUUGAAUCAAGGUGUCAAGAUGUUUGACUCCUGAACUUUUGAGGUUCAGAGUGUGGAGGGUGCCGGUUUGGAUUAGAGGUUCAAGGGAUAUUCCGGUGUAAAAUUAAGUUGGGGUCAAACCCACCGUAACACCGAGUUAGACACCCCAUCGAGAGAUGAAUGUUGCAGACCACUUGCUUCUCUAGUUAUACCAACUUUAGUAACAACCACACAAUAGCAAUACACAGCAUUCUACCACUCCAUGUCCACACCUCAACCAAAAAGCCACUAUAGCCACAAAUAAUGCUCAGAACAGCACCUAACUUCAUCAACAGAACAUAAAGGGUCCCAGCCAUAGUACUAGCCAUCAAACAUCUUUUUUAGUUUUGCCUGAUUUCUUUAGCAAAGAGACUAAACACAACUCACCCCUCUCCUCCAGCAGUCGCUUGUUUGUACUUUUUUUUUGUUUGUUUGUUUGAUGAGUCGAUCACCGAGUGCAGCGGGGUGACACAGCUCAAGGAAGACCACGUCUCAAUGUCACAUUUUUUUGUAUAUUUAGCUGUCCUCUUUCAAGCAAAGGUUUGGAUUCAGCUGCAGGAAAAACCAUCAAAAAUUCAGUUGCUGUGGAGGAUCUGUAGCCUGUCAGUUUCUAACUUUAUUAUCCAUGAAGUGGGCCGAAUGGGCAGAGAUGCUAUGCUAAUGUGGCCCUGUGUCUGAAUGUUGUCUUAAGGAGGAAGGGUGCAAAGAGCUUGGGAAAUUUUAGAAGACUUCUUCUUCCAACCAGUUAGGAAGCGUAAUCAUGAGAACCUGCAGGAUGAAUCAUUGAGCAGCUCAAAGGAAACGUUUUUAACUUGUAUGAUUGUAGCUCUGAGAUGCAUAAUUGGACCCCUCUGAUUAUCUCGGCGGUAACACCACUACUAAAAUAAUUUUCUACAGCAAGAGCGCUUACAUGUAAAUCACUUAAUGUCAUAGAAUUCAUACGCUUUCACAUUUUGUGAAAUACUAGGCAUUAUCAUUGAUUUCCUGGCUUUCUUACCAGUCACCCACCUGUGUAAAACACUUGACUCUGAUUGGUCAAAAGGCCACAGCUGUUAAAUCUGAAUAGCAAAGUUCACACAAGGGUCAACCUGAUCACGCACAUUAUACAUGCUUCAAAUCUACCUGUAAAAAGGGAUUAUGGCACUGAUAAUGAGUCAACCUCCUACUGUUUAAAAUGUGACAGAUAUGUUACUUUGUGAUAAGAAUUAGAAAACAACAUGGUGAUUUUUUUAAUAAAACAGAAAUGAAGCAACAACAAAAAACCAAAACACAGUAUGAGUCUUGGCAGAGUUACAGGACUGUUUGGCUGAGAUGUAAAUGCUAACAGCAAAGUUAUGGGGGAAAGGAUCUUAAACUGGUGUUGCUGUUAUCUUCUGCACAAUAAAAAACGAAAAGGUUUUACUCAGAAUUAAGAUGUUAAGAUGAAUGUGAGUUUUAAAGUCAGUGGUUGUUAAAUUUCUGAUAAACGGGCAGACAUUUUUCCAUCAGGUGAAUAAGUUAAAAACUAUUUGAAAUAUCAUUUUGCUGUUUUGAAAAAGUACAUUAGUGGAACUUUUGUUCUCGGAUUGUCAUCCUCUCUGUCCCUGUCUCUCGCCCACUGUUCUCCACAGUCUCCGAUCCUCCACUUUUCCAUCUCUGACUCUUCCACGCAUUCAAACAUCACUCGUCUCCCACUAUCUGCACACUCACUCACUCACUCUCUCUCCUUUUAGUGGCUUUCAGGUUGUCAUCCAGCCUUUGAUGGAGCCUUUGAAAGCUGCUGAGGACCGCCAGCUCUCUCCCCCUCCACGUUAGUGUCGGCUAAAUCGGGCUCGGUGGCGGAGGCUGACUCGUCGCUCCUGGAGGGUGAGUGGGAGUCUGGAAGCUGAUCAGACAGCACGGCGCUCGGGGGCGGAGGAGCUGCCACCUCCAGCUACCUGGACGCUGAGGGGAGAUAGUGGUGCAUAUGGCAGCAAGCCCUAUGGUCUGACUCACAUGCAGGGAACAGACUUCAAUCAACCUCUGCUCUCUCCAUCAUUCUGCCCCUGAUUCUUUAUUGUUUUGAUCCCUAGCGUAAGAAAUCCUCCAUCCUGCUGGCUGAUAAACAUAUAAAGUUAAAUAAAGUGGAUUUAGGAGCCACAGUCUGUC
Non-coding RNA from Xyrichtys novacula (pearly razorfish), 2845 nucleotides. The record is from the annotation of a GenBank genome assembly. Lineage: Eukaryota; Metazoa; Chordata; Actinopteri; Labriformes; Labridae.